Molecule: ribosomal RNA, 468 nt
Filed under: uncultured bacterium
Lineage: Bacteria
Description: partial 16S ribosomal RNA
Rfam family: Bacterial small subunit ribosomal RNA
Source: RNAcentral
GACGAACGCUGGCGGCGUGCUUAACACAUGCAAGUCGAACGGAAAGUCCCUGCUUUUGUGGGGUGCUCGAGUUGCGAACUGGUGAGUAACACGUGAGUAACCUGCCCUUGCCUUUGGGAUAACUUCAUGACACUUGGGCUAAUACCGGCUAGGAGCUCCUGCUUCAUGGUGGGGGUUGGAAAGUUUCGGUGGUUGGGGAUGGACUCGCGGCUUAUCAGCUUGUUGGUGGGGUAGUGGCUUACCAAGGCUUUGACGGGUAGCCGGCCUGAGAGGGUGGCCGGCCACAUUGGGACGGAGAUACGGCCCAGACUCCUACGGGAGGCAGCAGUGGGGAAGAUUGCACAAUGGGCGGAAGCCUGAUGCAGCAACGCCGCGUGCGGGAUGACGGCCUUCGGGUUGUAAACCGCUUUCGCCUGUGACGAAGCGUGAGUGACGGUAAUGGGUAAAGAAGCACCGGCUAACUACGUG